This 386-nucleotide ribosomal RNA is filed under the name uncultured bacterium. Its description in RNAcentral is "bacterial SSU rRNA". It matches the Rfam family "Archaeal small subunit ribosomal RNA", at positions 339 to 725 of the family's 1478-position model. The record is from RNAcentral.
GCGCGAAAACUUUACAAUGCUGGCAACAGCGAUAAGGGAACCUCAAGUGCCAGGUUACAAAUCUGGCUGUCGAGAUGCCUAAAAAGCAUUUCAUAGCAAGGGCCGGGCAAGACCGGUGCCAGCCGCCGCGGUAACACCGGCGGCUCGAGUGGUAACCGUUAUUAUUGGGUCUAAAGGGUCUGUAGCCGGCCGGAUAAGUCUCUUGAGAAAUCUGGCAGCUUAACUGUCAGGCUUUCAGGAGAUACUGUCUGGCUCGAGGCCGGGAGAGGUGAGAGGUACUUCAGGGGUAGGGGUGAAAUCUUGUAAUCCUUGAGGGACCACCAGUGGCGAAGGCGUCUCACCAGAACGGACCUGACGGCAAGGGACAAAAGCUAGGGGCACGAACC